RNAcentral lists this ribosomal RNA (517 nucleotides) under uncultured bacterium. Its description in RNAcentral is "bacterial SSU rRNA". It matches the Rfam family "Bacterial small subunit ribosomal RNA", at positions 29 to 517 of the family's 1533-position model. The record is from RNAcentral.
AGCGAACGUUAGCGGCGGGCCUAACACAUGCAAGUCGAACGCGAAAGGUCUUCGGACUGAGUAGAGUGGCGCACGGGUGAGUAACACGUAGGUAAUCUACCCUUUGGGCGGGGGAUAACGUCCCGAAAGGAGCGCUAAUACCGCAUAAGACCACGGAGUCUCCGGACGCUGUGGGAAAAGGUGGCCUCUUCUUGAAAGCUACCACCGAAGGAUGAGCCUGCGUCCCAUCAGCUAGUUGGUAAGGUAAUGGCUUACCAAGGCGAAGACGGGUAGCUGGUUUGAGAGAAUGAUCAGCCACACUGGCACUGGAACACGGGCCAGACUCCUACGGGAGGCAGCAGUGAGGAAUAUUGGGCAAGUGGGCGAAAAGCCUGGACCCCAGCCACGCCGCGUGAGUGAUGAAGGCCCUCGGGUCGUAGAGCUCUGUGGAGAGGGACGAAAACCCUGGUUUCAAAUAGGACUCCAGGCUUGACGGUACCUCUUUAGCAAGCACCGGCUAACUCUGUGCCAGCAGCCG